UCCCAGCUAGAUAAGUCGAUAGAGCAUGAGACUCUUAAUCUCAGGGUCGUGGGUUUGUGUCCCACGUUGGGCG
This 73-nucleotide transfer RNA is filed under the name Erinaceus europaeus (western European hedgehog). It matches the Rfam family "tRNA". Rfam says of the family: Transfer RNA (tRNA) molecules are approximately 80 nucleotides in length. Their secondary structure includes four short double-helical elements and three loops (D, anti-codon, and T loops). Further hydrogen bonds mediate the characteristic L-shaped molecular structure. tRNAs have two regions of fundamental functional importance: the anti-codon, which is responsible for specific mRNA codon recognition, and the 3' end, to which the tRNAs corresponding amino acid is attached (by aminoacyl-tRNA synthetases). tRNAs cope with the degeneracy of the genetic code in two manners: having more than one tRNA (with a specific anti-codon) for a particular amino acid; and 'wobble' base-pairing, i.e. permitting non-standard base-pairing at the 3rd anti-codon position. The record is from Rfam by way of RNAcentral. Lineage: Eukaryota; Metazoa; Chordata; Mammalia; Eulipotyphla; Erinaceidae.